RNAcentral lists this ribosomal RNA (333 nucleotides) under uncultured Bacillota bacterium. RNAcentral describes it as "bacterial SSU rRNA". It matches the Rfam family "Bacterial small subunit ribosomal RNA", at positions 28 to 351 of the family's 1533-position model. Lineage: Bacteria; Bacillati; Bacillota. The record is from RNAcentral.
GACGAACGCUGGCGGCGUGCCUAAUACAUGCAAGUCGAGCGGAUUGAUUUGGAGCUUGCUCCAAUGAUGUCAGCGGCGGACGGGUGAGUAACACGUGGGUAACCUGCCUGACAGACUGGGAUAACGCUUGGAAACGAGUGCUAAUACCGGAUAGGCUCUUUGACCGCAUGGUUGAAGAGGGAAAGAAGCUAUCGCUUCACUGUUAGAUGGACCCGCGGCGCAUUAGCUAGUUGGUGAGGUAAUGGCUCACCAAGGCGACGAUGCGUAGCCGACCUGAGAGGGUGACCGGCCACACUGGGACUGAGACACGGCCCAGACACCUACGGGAGGCAG